RNAcentral lists this long non-coding RNA (2286 nucleotides) under Solanum tuberosum (potato). RNAcentral's name for it is "long non-coding RNA (STUB_LNC010020)". Lineage: Eukaryota; Viridiplantae; Streptophyta; Magnoliopsida; Solanales; Solanaceae. The record is from RNAcentral.
UUUACCCUCUUUAAUAAUUAUUUGGUCAAGAAAACAAGUAACAACAAUAAUCUAUAAAAAUUAGUGCCCUUAAAUUACUGAGCAUUUUUCAGUAACACACUUAUCGUUACUAUUAAAAUGAUCAACAGGCAAGACAAAUGUUAUACAACAGAAUGGUCAGGAGGCCAUAAAAGGGGAACACAUUCUGGUGCUUCAAGAGGGAGAUCAGAUUUCAUACAUCAAUGAUUUAUUAACAACCACGAGUCCAGCGUCAAUGUAUAAAAAGUAUAUGAAAUAAUCAAGGGAAUAAAUGAAAUAAUAGCAUUUACUUAUAAAAAAUAAUCAUCAUUCUUCCCAGAACGCCGCCCUUGAUCUUCAAGAACUUGUUGCUUGCACUAUGAAUGUAGUAUGGAGGCAUAUCUCUUUUAGCUGACUCCAAAAAUUGUCAGUCUUGCAACCUCUUUGCACCUUAAAGAAUACUAGGAUUCAGUAGUGAAGAAAAGCCUCUUCAAAGCUAUCAUCAAUGUCUGCUAAUGUUAGACAAAAAAGUGCAUUAGAUAUUUAACUUCUGUCAAGGUGGUUUUCCAUUAUCUAAGUCCUCCAUAACAUCGAUAUCCUUGCGUGCUGUAAUCUUCUGCACAUAACCUGUAGUGACAAAGAUUUUGUGUUAAAAAAAAACAGAUUGCUCCACGAUCUCGAGGACAAGCUGAAACUUCUUUACUGAUAUAAAGUGAGUUUUUGGCCAAAUACACCCCUAAUGUAUACCACUUACUGAGACUACAUCUUUAAAGGAUCACUGUAAACAAAGAACAUCCUUCACAUUUUUGGAAAUGAGCAUGUUUCGUUCUGCCAUUACCCAUGGUAAUAAACCUAACAGAACCCUAAAAAGACACAGACAGGGCAGGUGACAUUCGAAAAUAAAAUUACAAGCUUUGCAACUCCAUUCCAGAUACACACUGAUCCUUAACUACAAACAGAAGACUUCAGAGAUGCUUGAAGUUGGAACUAACACUGCUAAACCACUUCGACCAUGCUUUCAACUGAUCCUUAUAACUAUUGAGUUGUAAUUGAGCAUGAUGAAGAUGAGGCUUCAAUAGAAUGAUCUUUCAAAUUGUACUAGAAUGUUACUGUUAAUUAAAAAGUCCGGCCAACUCAUCCAUUUCACAGCUACAGGCUACUGGCCAAGUUGAACAAUUAGGACAUGUUGCAGAAAUGCAACAUAAACACAGUAAUUAAAAAAUAACCAUGACCAUAUUAAAAUCCAUUUCACCAGUAUUAUUCACCAAAAAAGAUUCAGUCACACCAACAAAUUUAGAAGUUCUGUAACAACUUAUUCAACCACAUUCUAUUUUUUAAGAAAAUUAUCUGAAACUCCAGAAAUGCAGAAAGUGGUAAAACAUGCCAGAAAAUACAAAAACCACAAAAAUACUUUUGGAGUAUGUAGAGACCUAAGUCGAUAAGAAAUUAACCCUAAAUAGUUCUUCAUACCAUAUACUCCAAAUCAGCAAUAUUUUCUUUGUUACGAAAAUAGCAACUCUUUUCUCCUAAUUGACUGUGUCCCCAUAAUUUUUCUUUCCAAUCAACAAUGGUGAAGCAGGCUGAUGUUUUAAGAAAAUGUCACGUGUCAUAUACGGGAUUUUGUGGGGGUCCGUUAGUUUUGUAGCAGUAAAGUAAUGGAGGGAUGAAAACAGCUCACUUUAGAAUACAAGGAUGCUUUUUGUUCAUAAGUAUAUUUCAAGGAUGUAAUCCAAGUAGUGCGUAUACAAUAGGGAUGUUUUUGGUCAAAAACUCGAAAGAGUUCUCACUAUGAGAAUCUGUAGUUUCCCUGUCACUCUGAUUGCAAAUUAUAGAAGUCACUGGCCACUUCAGUGUUGCUCUUUCUCAAUUAUUUUCUUUCUGUCAUGUACUCUGUUUUAGUCCAUAAAGAGAACAUCUGAAGAUCUCAAGAGAACUGAGGCUCGUACCUUGUGGGGUAUUUUAUAACUGACAUCCAUCCUUUUACAGAGUUUAAACUCACAAAAACCAUGAGAGAGAAAUUGUAAUGAACCUUUUGUCUUCACUUUCAUCAAAGGGAUAUGAGUUCCAGUCUUCAAGAAAAUACAGAAGUGUCAAUUGUCUUCUUUUCAGUCAGCUAAUUGUAUCCAUUCUUUACUUUCUCGUUUAAGCUGGUACUAAAGCAGAAGAAGCAAAUAAAGGAAAAAAGAAGGUAAAAAUUCUUUAUUUAAUUUUUCUAGUGGUGUUGAAGAAAAUGCACUUGUUCUUGACAAAAUUUAUGUGUACAAAGAGACAAGUAUUGGUCAUGCCCUA